AGUGAACGCUGGCGGUAGGCCUAACACAUGCAAGUCGAACGGCCGCACAGUAAGAGCUUGCUCUUACGGGUGGCGAGUGGCGGACGGGUGAGGCAUACAUCGGCAUCUACUUUUUCGUGGGGGAUAACGUGGGGAAACUUCCGCUAAUACCGCAUACGACCUACGGGUGAAAUCAGUAGAUCUUCAGACCUUUCCCGAUUGAUAUAGCCGAUGUCGGAUUAGCUAGUUGGCGUGGUAACGGCCCACCAAGGCGACGAUGCGUAGCGGAUCUGAGAGGAUGAUCGGCCACACUGGAACUGAGACACGGUCCAGACUCCUACGGGAGGCAGCAGUAGGGAAUCUUCCGCAAAGGGCGAAAGCCUGACGGAGCAACGCCGCGUGAGUGAUGAAGGUCUUCGGAUCGUAAAACUCUGUUAUUAGGGAAGAACAAAAGUGUAAGUAACUAUGCACGUCUUGACGGUACCUAAUCAGAAAGCCACGGCUAACUACGUG
This 492-nucleotide ribosomal RNA is filed under the name uncultured bacterium. Its description in RNAcentral is "partial 16S ribosomal RNA". It matches the Rfam family "Bacterial small subunit ribosomal RNA", at positions 29 to 507 of the family's 1533-position model. The record is from RNAcentral.